UACGUAGGGGGCGAGCGUUGCUCGGAAUUACUGGGCGUAAAGGGAGUGCAGGCGGCCGGUUAAGUCGAAGAUGAAAUCCCGAGGCUCAACUUCGGAACGGUCUUCGAUACUGAUCGGCUUGAGGCUAAUUGAGGAGAGCGGAAUUCCCGGUGGAGCGGUGAAAUGCGUAGAUAUCGGGAGGAACACCAGAGGCGAAGGCGGCUCUCUAAACUAGUCCUGACGCUGAGACUCGAAAGCUAGGGGAGCAAACGGGAUUAGAAACCCUAGUAGUCC
This 273-nucleotide ribosomal RNA is filed under the name uncultured prokaryote. RNAcentral describes it as "partial 16S ribosomal RNA". It matches the Rfam family "Bacterial small subunit ribosomal RNA", at positions 524 to 796 of the family's 1533-position model. The record is from RNAcentral.